UUUUCCUACGGGGCGCAGCAGUGAGGAAUAUUGGUCAAUGGGCGGAAGCCUGAACCAGCCAAGUAGCGUGUAGGAUGACGGCCUUACGGGUUGUAAACUGCUUUUAUACGGGAAUAACGCGCCUUACGUGUAGGGCUUUGCAUGUACCGUAUGAAUAAGGACUGGCUAAUUCCGUGCCAGCAGCCGCGGUAAUACGGAAGGUCCGGUCGUUAUCCGGAUUUAGUGGGUUUAAAGGGAGCGUAGGCCGCAUGUCAAGCGUGCUGUGCACUGUCCGGGCUCAACCCGG
This 286-nucleotide ribosomal RNA is filed under the name uncultured bacterium. RNAcentral describes it as "partial 16S ribosomal RNA". It matches the Rfam family "Bacterial small subunit ribosomal RNA", at positions 334 to 617 of the family's 1533-position model. The record is from RNAcentral.